Molecule: ribosomal RNA, 442 nt
Filed under: uncultured bacterium
Lineage: Bacteria
Description: partial 16S ribosomal RNA
Rfam family: Bacterial small subunit ribosomal RNA
Source: RNAcentral
CCUACGGGUGGCUGCAGUGGGGAAUAUUGGGCAAUGGGCGCAAGCCUGAACCAGCAACGCCGCGUGAAGGAAGAAGGCUUUCGGGUUGUAAACUUCUUUUCUCAGGGACGAAGAAAGUGACGGUACCUGAAGAAAAAGCAUCGGCUAACUCCGUGCCAGCAGCCGCGGUAAUACGGAGGAUGCGAGCGUUCUCCGGAUUUAUUGGGUUUAAAGGGUGCGCGGGCGGUCUGUUAAGUCAGGGGUCAAAGCCCGGGGCUCAACCCCGGCCCGCCGUUGAAACUGGCAGUCUCGAGUUGGGGAGAAGUAUGCGGAAUGCGCGGUGUAGCGGUGAAAUGCAUAGAUAUCGCGCAGAACUCCGAUUGCGAAGGCAGCAUGCCGGCUCCACACUGACGCUGAGGCACGAAAGCGUGGGUAUCGAACAGGAUUAGAUACCCCAGUAGUC